AUGACCCUGACGAGAUGGCUGCCAUAGGGUCGUGACCUUCUUUAGCAUGCACAUCGGCACCGUCCCCGCGUCCGCAGCAGGGGGACGACAAUGGCUGCAAGUGACGGCACAGGAGCCCAUCUUAGUCGAGCACCCUCCCAGGAUUUUACUACUGUUAUGGCAAAAGAAGGCUAAAGCUGGGAAAGACAACAAUGUCAGGAGCCGGCCGAGGUAAAGAGACCUAAGUUGACAAGCAGGGUUGUGCAGUUAUUUUUCUCUGCUAUUCAUUGAGCAUAUCAGGAGAUUGAUAGACAGUGUGAGAACUGGUACAUAAAAUAAUUUCUUCUGAAUCACAUAGUGGUUCCUAACAUUUAGCAUUUCUAAAAUUUGCCAUUUUUAGCUAGAUCCAAAAUGCAGAGAGGCAAGGUUUAUUUUCCUGGAGGUCCUAUAUUGCAGCUGGUGCUAUUUUGUUAUGUCAAAUUGUGUAUUUUUCCAGCUUCCCUUCCUCAUGUAUGAGCUUGUCUAUGGUGGGAUGGGGAUUCGGAGGAUAAAUGUUAUGGCAGUAAGGAGGUCAAGCGUGAGACGUCACAUGUCAAGGGGAUUUACUAUUUAGUCUCUUCUAAUCAGGUGAAGAGAUACUGCUGGUUUAAACGGAAUCCAUACUUUAACAUGAUUUCUCCCAAUUCAACAAAGUCAGGUACUACUCAUGUUCUUUCAUGGUAUGGCUUAUGUGAC
Molecule: long non-coding RNA, 714 nt
Organism: Triticum dicoccoides
Lineage: Eukaryota; Viridiplantae; Streptophyta; Magnoliopsida; Poales; Poaceae
Exons: 3
Source: RefSeq, a predicted model, not a curated record